Molecule: ribosomal RNA, 490 nt
Filed under: uncultured bacterium
Lineage: Bacteria
Description: partial 16S ribosomal RNA
Rfam family: Bacterial small subunit ribosomal RNA
Source: RNAcentral
UGAACGCUGGCGGUAGGCCUAACACAUGCAAGUCGAACGGCAGCACAGUAAGAGCUUGCUCUUACGGGUGGCGAGUGGCGGACGGGUGAGGAAUACAUCGGAAUCUACUUUUUCGUGGGGGAUAACGUAGGGAAACUUACGCUAAUACCGCAUACGACCUACGGGUGAAAGCAGGGGAUCUUCGGACCUUGCGCGAUUGAAUGAGCCGAUGUCGGAUUAGCUAGUUGGCGGGGUAAAGGCCCACCAAGGCGACGAUCCGUAGCUGGUCUGAGAGGAUGAUCAGCCACACUGGAACUGAGACACGGUCCAGACUCCUACGGGAGGCAGCAGUGGGGAAUAUUGGACAAUGGGCGCAAGCCUGAUCCAGCCAUACCGCGUGGGUGAAGAAGGCCUUCGGGUUGUAAAGCCCUUUUGUUGGGAAAGAAAAGCAGCAGGUUAAUACCCCGCUGUUCUGACGGUACCCAAAGAACAAGCACCGGCUAACUUCGUG